UGGGGAAUAUUGCGCAAUGGGGGCAACCCUGACGCAGCCAUGCCGCGUGAAUGAAGAAGGCCUUCGGGUUGUAAAGUUCUUUCGGUAGCGAGGAAGGCAUUUAGUUUAAUAGACUAGGUGAUUGACGUUAACUACAGAAGAAGCACCGGCUAACUCCGUGCCAGCAGCCGCGGUAAUACGGAGGGUGCGAGCGUUAAUCGGAAUAACUGGGCGUAAAGGGCACGCAGGCGGUGACUUAAGUGAGGUGUGAAAGCCCCGGGCUUAACCUGGGAAUUGCAUUUCAUACUGGGUCGCUAGAGUACUUUAGGGAGGGGUAGAAUUCCACGUGUAGCGGUGAAAUGCGUAGAGAUGUGGAGGAAUACCGAAGGCGAAGGCAGCCCCUUGGGAAUGUACUGACGCUCAUGUGCGAAAGCGUGGGGAGCAAACAGGAUUAGAUACCCUGGUAGUCCACGCUGUAAACGAUGUCGAUUUGGGGGUUGAACUUUAGGUUUGGCGCCCGUAGCUNACGUGAUAAAUCGACCGCCUGGGGAGUACGGCCGCAAGGUU
This 546-nucleotide ribosomal RNA is filed under the name uncultured bacterium. RNAcentral's name for it is "bacterial SSU rRNA". It matches the Rfam family "Bacterial small subunit ribosomal RNA", at positions 355 to 895 of the family's 1533-position model. The record is from RNAcentral.